UGUGUGGGGGGAAAGCAGAAGUAUCCACUGUUGGUCCCCAUACUUCAUUGCAGGACCUCGACGAUUUUGAUGAUGACGCUUUUGAGGGGAUUGAUAGGCUUUGUGGAAGGAGGACGCUCGCGAUGGAGGUUCUGGUUCAUGUCAACGUAUCUCCGGAAGCUCAAUGUGUCCCAAAGGGAUGCAGCGGUGAGCGACAUUCUUCUGACUGUUGCCGGGCUGGGAAGUGGAAAGACCUCUACAAUGGUCGCAUGUAUUCUGACAGAACAAUCUUUGUCGAGCCUAGUGACUGCUGUAUUGAAUAUGCUACCUCAGAGACGCGAUUUUGAAGCUCGUGCAGUCGUGGAUGAAUCGGGGGGAAAACUCUUGAACUAGGAUGAAGAUUGUUGGACUGUGUUGGACUAUCUUUUGGAUGAUGUGAAUUUCUGUGUAAGCACCUUAGGAUCCAAGAGGAAGUGAAAGAAAAUUCUCGACCGCCGGGAUGCUCAGUGCUUCUGAGAGCUUUCUUAGAACAUAUAACUGUUGGAGAGACCGAGAACUUUCGACGGCCGAGAAGAAAUCAUAAUUCAGUAACGUUGACAACGAUGCAUCAGUCGAAGGGACUGGAGUGGGAGAGCGUCUUCAUUGGAACGUAAGAUUGGCCUCGUCUUGCUAGCUUUGCUUUCACCUUUUUAGAACGGCUCCAAUUGUUUAACAUAGAACAUACUUAACACAGCUGCCGGAGUAUUAUGGUCAA
Molecule: RNA transcript, 733 nt
Organism: Selaginella moellendorffii
Lineage: Eukaryota; Viridiplantae; Streptophyta; Lycopodiopsida; Selaginellales; Selaginellaceae
Gene name: ATP-dependent DNA helicase SRS2-like protein At4g25120
Exons: 6
Source: RefSeq, a predicted model, not a curated record